CCCACACACCCAGCGGGGCAGGGAGGGGGGCACGGCCAAGCCACGGCCCCUGUGCCCUCACCAGGACUCACAAUGGAAGCCAGGACAGACAGCUCCUGAGGAAUUGCUUCUGGACCCUGGCCAUGAAAAAUGAAGCCCAAACACACGGAAUAAGCAAGGUUUUGGAACAAUGAAUGUGGGAAGAGAAGGAGCCUGAGAAACUCCACAUCCACUGCUCCCAGCAGAGCUCAGAGACAAGGCUGGAAAAUCGCAUCCUCCCAAAUUCUCCAGCCAGGGGUUCAUCUGAAAAUAUCUGAGAACUGAUUUAUCUUCAUCUGGGGUUCCAGAGGAAAUGCAUCCUGGGAGGUUCCUCGGGCAUCUUUGCACUCGGUAAAGUUCAAGUGGACAAGAGAAGGGAACAGAGGGCUUGAGACACUGAAUUACUAAAAGGUUCCUGGAAAUAUGUGGCCAAGAAGAGAAGAACCAACCUGUGAAAGGUGCUGCAUUUACAGGAAUUAAAUCUCUUUUCUCACAGAGGGAAAAGCUGCACUGCCAUGUUUUGACAGAAGAAAACUGACAUGGAAGGAAGGUGUUGAAAACUUCCAGUCAGGGGAAGCUCUGGAAUCCUUUUGUGGUCUCAAAGCUGGAACAAUCCCUUUGGAAAUCACAGUCCUAGAACCGCUGUAAUCUUUGUCAUGGAUUUUCUAUGACAAUUUCCCACUGCUUUCAGUCCAUGGAAUAGCAUUGUAGGAGAUUGGGAAUAUCUGUUCCUCUGAAGAACCUCUCCUUCUUAUUCUUCAUAUAAAUAAAUCACUUAGAGAAAAAAAAAAAAAAAAAAUUCAGCACCUCCAGUCCUAAUAAAAAAGGGACACACAAAAAUGUGAAGUGGGCAAUGAAUAUUUUAAUUUGCUUCAGACUAUUUUAAACUUUUCCCAACUCCUUUGCCAUUAAAGCAAUGGAAAACUGAAUGGAUUUCAUACCAUUGACCAGUGCCAUGAAAAAUGCCCUGUCCAGCACAGAAACGUGACUGUGGGUUUGCAUUUUCAAGCAAGUUUGGUUUCCCCUGCCACCACCCUGGGGUGAGACCUGACUGAGGCUUUACUUUGGUUGCCUGGAUUAGUCCCAGAGUCAGCAUGAGCUUCGUGCUCAGAGCAAAUUUAGACAAGCAAGUAAAUCAAAGUUCCCUCAUGAAGAACUUGUAAAUCAUGAGGAAUGCCUGAAUUUUAUAUAAAGCACAAUUUGAAUCUGAAUGAAAGCCCACAUGAAUGUUAGAGCUCCUUUUUGUACCUCUGUCAUAACUAAAGGAAGAUGAUGGUACAUUUUCUUCCCCCUUUGUUUGUUUGUU
Cyanistes caeruleus (blue tit) is the source of this 1324-nucleotide long non-coding RNA. RefSeq lists it as uncharacterized. The record is from RefSeq and is a predicted model, not a curated record. Lineage: Eukaryota; Metazoa; Chordata; Aves; Passeriformes; Paridae.